Molecule: ribosomal RNA, 492 nt
Filed under: uncultured bacterium
Lineage: Bacteria
Description: partial 16S ribosomal RNA
Rfam family: Bacterial small subunit ribosomal RNA
Source: RNAcentral
AGUGAACGCUGGCGGUAGGCCUAACACAUGCAAGUCGAACGGCAGCACAGUAAGAGCCUGCUCUUACGGGUGGCGAGUGGCGGACGGGUGAGGAAUACAUCGGAAUCUACUUUUUCGUGGGGGAUAACGUAGGGAAACUUACGCUAAUACCGCAUACGACCUACGGGUGAAAGCAGGGGAUCUUCGGACCUUGCGCGAUUGAAUGAGCCGAUGUCGGAUUAGCUAGUUGGCGGGGUAAAGGCCCACCAAGGCGACGAUCCGUAGCUGGUCUGAGAGGAUGAUCAGCCACACUGGAACUGAGACACGGUCCAGACUCCUACGGGAGGCAGCAGUGGGGAAUAUUGGACAAUGGGCGCAAGCCUGAUCCAGCCACACCGCGUGGGUGAAGAAGGCCUUCGGGUUGUAAAGCCCUUUUGUUGGGAAAGAAAAGCAGCAGGUUAAUACCCCGCUGUUCUGACGGUACCCAAAGAAUAAGCACCGGCUAACUUCGUG